GACGAACGCUGGCGGCGUGCCUAAUACAUGCAAGUAGAACGCUGAAGGAGGAGCUUGCUUCUCUGGAUGAGUUGCGAACGGGUGAGUAACGCGUAGGUAACCUGCCUGGUAGCGGGGGAUAACUAUUGGAAACGAUAGCUAAUACCGCAUAAGAGUAGAUGUUGCAUGACAUUUGCUUAAAAGGUGCAAUUGCAUCACUACCAGAUGGACCUGCGUUGUAUUAGCUAGUUGGUGGGGUAACGGCUCACCAAGGCGACGAUACAUAGCCGACCUGAGAGGGUGAUCGGCCACACUGGGACUGAGACACGGCCCAGACUCCUACGGGAGGCAGCAGUAGGGAAUCAUCGGCAAUGGACGGAAGUCUGACCGAGCAACGCCGCGUGAGUGAAGAAGGUUUUCGGAUCGUAAAGCUCUGUUGUAAGAGAAGAACGAGUGUGAGAGUGGAAAGUUCACGCUGUGACGGUAUCUUACCAGAAAGGGACGGCUAACUACGUG
This 495-nucleotide ribosomal RNA is filed under the name uncultured bacterium. RNAcentral's name for it is "partial 16S ribosomal RNA". It matches the Rfam family "Bacterial small subunit ribosomal RNA", at positions 28 to 507 of the family's 1533-position model. The record is from RNAcentral.